Non-coding RNA from Oryctolagus cuniculus (rabbit), 5998 nucleotides. Lineage: Eukaryota; Metazoa; Chordata; Mammalia; Lagomorpha; Leporidae. The record is from RefSeq and is a predicted model, not a curated record.
CGCCGGGCGCCGCCAUGGCCCAAGGCCGCUCCGUGCCGUCGGCUUCCGGGCCCGCCGGCGCCACCCCUGCACCUGCCCCGCCCCUGCGCGCUCCGCGCCUCCCGGGUCUUUGCAACGCGGCAAUACCAAUAAUAAGUAUUCACAGAGUUUACAUCGAGCUAUCAAGAGCAGCCAUGCUUAAAUUUGCCUUCCACAAAGCACUAAGACACAUCAGCCAAGUGCUUUGCUGCAUUGUAGCAAGGAUAGCCUUUGUUCCAGUUUCUGAUGGUCAGUCCAAGGCCUCAAUAGAAUGGCCCUUCCCUCCCCAUUUCUACCCACAUUCUGAUCGCACCACCCACGUAAUCUCUAAGACGCAUGCAUUCUUCGGAGCCCUCACCAGGAUCGCCCUCAGUGUUCCGUGGCCAUGUACACUUCUCCUAGCACUUCUAAACUCUUCUAGCCUCUUCCUAUCGCCCAGUUUCAAAGCAGCGCCGGUCUUAGGGUUCUGUGGAGAAACAGAACCAGUUGGGUACAUGGAUAUCCAAGUGGACCUGUGAGGCGGAUGUUGAAACAGAACCAGUCGGGUACGUAGAUAUCCAAGUGGACCUGUGAGGGCGGAUGUUGAAACAGAACCAGUUGGGUACGUAGCUAUCCAAGUGGACCUGUGAGGCGGAUGUUGAAACAGAACCAGUCGGGUACAUGGAUAUCCAAGUGGACCUGUGAGGCCGAUGUUGGGGUAAUUGGCUCAUGUGAUGGUGGAGGCUCAGAAGUCCCACAGUGUGCUGUUUGCGAGCUGGAGAACUGGGGAAGCUGGUGAAAUGGCUCAGUCCCUGUCCGAGGGCUGAGAACCAGGGGUGCCAACAAUGCCUCUCUCAGUUUGAGGUGGAAAGUCUACAAGCCCCCAGGGCUUCCGGUACAAGCCUUGGAGUUUGCAGGCCAGAAAACUCGGACUUCUGAUAGCCAAGAGCGGAAGUCGCGUAUCCCGGAUUCAGAAGAGAGUGAGAGCAACACUGUCAUCUACUGUUUUUUUUGUUCUGGGUGGGCGCCCAGUUGAUUGAAUGGUGCCCAGUCAGGUUGGACGAGGGCAGCUAUUCCUGUAGGCUGUCCACUGAUUCAAAUGCCAAUCCCUCCCCAAGCCCCUUCACAAACAAACCCAGAGAUUACGCGUCAUCGGCUACUCAGGAAUCCCUCAUCCAGUCAAGUCCAUGCACAAAAUGAGCAUCCAGCGAAGGUGGAAGGGGUGAGGAGAGCAAGGGGCAGAGGGCGCCCACUGGCGGAUCCCCUUGGAAGGGCUGGUGCUGCUGACUUGAGGCCCACACCCGAGGGCCUGAUUUCCUGCAUGAGCUGGCUUGCGAAUGUUGCAGGCAGAACGUGAUUCUUAUUACCACCUUGACUCCUCAAGUCCAUCCUACUGCUUGUUUCUGUGCCAUUGCAUGAAAUUCUGGCCGCAUCUCACAGCAUUCCCACUCACAAGGACCUCACCUCCACAGCUAAGCCCCAGCUUGUUUAUUUAUUUGAAAGGCAGAGUUGCAGAGAGAGAGAGAGAGAGAGAGAGAGAGAGCGAGCGAGCGCUCCAUCCUCUGGUUCACUCCCCAGACGAAAAUCUCUUAGUUAAUUAAAACUGCAUUUGUCAUCAAGUUAAAAAUAAAGACAAGCCUUUAAAAAUUAACUAUAAAAAGGCGAAUGCUUUCAUACUUGUGGGGAGCAACUCGGACUAGACUGUUACUGGAAUUAAGACUUAUUCUAUGCAUCUGCUCUCCCACAAUAUGGCGCUGGGAGAGGAGGAAACAGCUUCUACACAGCUGCCUCCAGUUCAACCAAUAAACAGCAGGACCUGCUCCUGAUUGGAGGAGAGCAGCGUACUUGGCGUGUGGGUAGCAGAGUUGGGAUUGGCGGAAGAGGACUAUAAAGGAGGAGAGUGACAACAUGCACCAGGAACAUCUAUCUGAAGGAACACCUGGGCAGCCCCCGAGAGAGCCGGCCGGCGGUGUGCCGCUCCCCCGCGGAAGUGGGGAAAGUGGCAGGGGGAACUGCCCUUCCACGGAGGUGGAAGGGUCGGUAGCCAACCCGGGAAGAACCAGCAGUAAACCCGGGGAGGGCCGAGCAGACGAAAGAACAACGCAGGGUUUAGGGUGUUCCUCCGCGAAGAGGGGGAGCGACAUAAUGGUGCCGUGACUCAGAUAGGAAACCUAGGCAGGGUUUAGUGUCGUUCCUCCACGAAGAGGGGGAGCGACAAUACUGGAGGGAGGGAUGAUACUGUCUGAAGUCUUUUGUUUUUUAAGAUUCAUUUAUUUAUUCGAAAGUCAGAGUUACACACAGAGAGAGGAGAGGCAGAGGUAAAGAGAGAGAGAUGUCUUCCAUCUUCUGGUUCACUCCCCAGUUGGCAGCAAUGGCCGGAACUGUGCCUAUCCGAAGCCAGGAGCCAGGAGCUUCUUCCAGGUCUCCCAUGGGGUGCGGGGUGGGCCAUCCUCCACUGCUUUCCCAGGCCACAGCAGAGAGCUGGAUCAGAAGUAAAGCAGCCGGGACUUGAACCUUCGCCCUCAUGGAGGAUGUCAGCACUGCAGGCAGCGGCUUUACCUGCUACACCACAGCACGGGCCCCCGAAGCCUUUCAUGGAAUAUCUAUAUCCGUCUGGAUGACAAGCUUGAACGACAGGUGUGGUCCGUCACCCUUUGUUCUCUUUACUACCCUGGAGAACACACGUCGGCAGUGGGGAGUCACUGGUGCCUGUUUUCUGGGCUCCAUCAGGUGGGAAACCAAACAGCCUGUCACACAGAGGUUGUGCUAGAGGCUUCCUGUUCUAGUCUGGCUCCAUUUAGCCCUGAAAAUCAUAGUGAUCUGUUGCAUAUGGUGUAAAAAUAUGCCCAGCAACAUCCCCCUGGUUUUAUUCGUGAACAAAUGAAGAAAACCAUAGGUGGUUGGGGAAAAGCCAUCUCCUUAAUCAAUCAGAUCUCUUCUCUUCAUAUAAUGACUUGGGAACUUUCAGCCCCAAAGGAAUACAUUAGACAAUUUAUUUGAGAAUCAUUAAACCAGCUCAGUUUGACAUAUUCAAAACCAUCUUUACUCUACAUUUUCGGUAUCCGAGGGAGAUACUGUUUAGGAAGAGAAAUAUCAGUUUUUAUACUUGAAAUAAGAGUAUAAUGAAACAAACUCUCAUUUUUUUUAAAUGGCCAUAUGGCUGUAACAGCUGGAGCUGGGCCGAUCUGAAACCAGGAGCUAGGAGCUUCUCCUGGGUCUCCCACAAAGGUGCAGGGGCCAAAGGACUUGGGCCAUCUUCCACUGCUUUCCUAGGCCAUAAGCAGAGAGCUGGUUUGGAAGAGGAGCAGCCAGGACACCAAUUGGCAUCCAUAUGGGAUGAUGGCACCACAGGCAGAGGUUUAGCCUACUAUUCCACUGUGCCAGCCCCCAAAAUCUCAUUUUUGAUGUUUGUUUCAAUAAGUGCCUCAUUUUCAGUAUAAAAUAAUAUGAAAGGGGUUAGCGCUGUGGUGCAGCAGGUUAAUGCCCCAACCUGCAAUGUCGGCAUCCCAUAUGGGCACUGGUUCUAGUCCCAGCUGCUCCACUUCCGAUCCAGCUCUCUGCUAUGGCCUGGGAAAGCAGUAGAAGAUGGCCCACGUGCUUGGGCCCCUGUGCCCGCUUGGGAGACCCAGAAGAAGCUUUUGGCUCCUGGCUUCAGAUUGGCCCAGUCUCGGCCUUUGCGGCCAUUUGGGGAGUGAAUCAGCAGAUGGAAGACCUCUCUGUCUCUCCCCCUCUCUGUAGUUCUGCCUCUCCAGUGAAUAAAUAAAAUCUUUAAAUAAAUCCCAAUUGAGAAGAUACUCAGUUUUUAUGGGUAUUCCUAUCCUAGCUACCCUACUAGAGUACUAUCUUCCAUUAUCAGUAAUAUAUUAGUGAGGUAAAAAUACUCAAGAUGAAUUAAACGACAAAAUCUUUGCAGUACUGGUGCAACUUUUAAAAAUAUUAGGCCUAUUAAGAACAUAACAGGUUGUCAAUGAGAAAUCAAUGGAAUUCAAUAUUCCAUCUCAAAUUUUUGAAAUCUCUGUAAACGACUUGAUGACAUGUCCUUGGAAAUAGACAAACUGUCAAACAAUUGCUCGAUAAACUUUCAGAGAGCACCUACAGAUGUGGACAACGUAGGUAGGUGAUCAACAGCAUGUCAAUGGGAUGGAACCUAUCCUAGCCAUGGGCACAAACUCUUGAAGGCCACGAUGGCAGGCUUCCUAUCUAACAUAGCAACUUCAACACUUCCAGUAGACCCUGGUCUGUUUGCUUUCCUCUAGGCAGCACUGGCUGUCUUGAACAAGAAGUAUAUCUUUUUUAAAAAAUAUUUGUUUAUUUGAGGCUGGCACUACAGCUCAAUAGGUUAAUCCUCCGCCUUGCGGUGCCGGCACACCGGGUUCUAGUCCUGGUCAGGGUGCUGGAUUCUGUCCCGGUUGCCCUUCUUCCAGGCCAGCUCUCUGCUGUGGCCCGGGAGUGCAGUGGAGGAUGGCCCAAGUGCUUGGGCCCUGCACCCCAUGGGAGACCAGGAUAAGUACCUGGCUCCUGCCAUCGGAUCAGCGCAGUGCGCUGACCGCAGCGCACCGGCCGCGGUGGCCAUUGGAGGGUGAACCAACGGCAAAGGAAGACCUUUCUCUCUGUCUCUCUCUCUCUCACUGUCCACUCUGCCUCUCAAAAAAAAAUUUAUUUAUUUGAAAGAGUUACACAGAGAGAGAAUGAGAGGCAGAGAGAGACAAAGAUCUUCCAUCCACUGAUUCACUCCCCUAAUGGCUGCAACCAUCAGGGCUGGGCCAAGCUGAAGCCAGAAGCUUCAUCCGGGUCUCCCACGUAGGUGCAGGGUCCCAAGCACUUGGAGCAUCAUCUGCUGCUUUCCCGGGCACAGUAGCAGGGAGCUGGGUGGGAAAUGGAGCAGCUGGGUCUGGAACCAGUGCCCCUAUGGGAUACCAGCGUCACAGGUGGCAGCUUUAACCUGCUACCCCACAAUCUGGCCCCGAACUUACUGUGUGUUAACUUGAUACAAAAGUUUGAAAAAAAAAAAAAAAGCCACAGGAAGGGAAUCUCCCACCAGGGCAGACUCCUGAUUGAGAGGGAAAGGAGGAGAAAUGAAUUGCGGCUGAACGAAGGGUGAAUCACCCGGCGGCUGCUCAGCCUGCGGGGAGCUGGAGCAGCGCUGCCUCACUAACCCACAUGCCUCUGUGUGCGCUGUAGCCGGCUUCAGUGCGACCCUGCGCGGAGGAGCCUGGAUCCCAAACAGGAAGCACUCCGUUUGAAGUGACUGCUCCUCACCGUGUGUGUGGGAGUACCACUGUCAGAAGCAGACAGGAACAAGGGGGAAAAAGGAAACGGAAGAAGAGCUCACAUCCAAGUGAAAAGAUUCUUUGCUGCAGUCCUGACUACUUACUGGCCUCCAUGCUGGGUGACUGAAUGUCUUUUACCCUCACUGGUCAGACAACUGUUGCACAGAGACACUAAGCAACUUCCUGAGGUCACACAGCAUAUAAGUGGUCUACCCAGGCAUUCUGGCUCCCGAACCCGUGCCUGUACCCUGCGAGCACCAGUGGCCCUCCCUCAGAGCGCUUCCUGAAGGAGAAGAGUCUGAGGGCCAGUGCUGUGGCAUAGCAGGUUACACCGCUGCCUGCAGUGCUGGCAUCCCAUACGGGCAUCGAUUCAUGUCCUGGCUGCUCCUCUCCUGAUCCAGCUCUCUGCUAUGGCCUGGGAAGGCAGUAGACGAUGGCCCAAGCACUUGGACCCUGCACCCAUGUGGGACACCUGGAAGAAGCUCUUGGCUCCUGGCUUUGGAUUGGCCCAGCUUUGGCCAUUACAGCCAUCUGGGGAGUGAACCAGCGGGUGGAAGACCUCUCUCUGUUUCUCUCCCCUCACCCCAUCUGUAACUCUGUCUCUCAAAUAAAUAAAUAAAGUAUUUUAAAAUAUUUCUUAAAAGUGUAAAUUCCUUUUUGGGGAAAAAUGCAAUAGAAAUGUGCCUAGUAUUGUGGGGAAAUUGAAAAAGAAAAAGAAAAAUUACUUUUGC